UACGUAGGGCGCAAGCGUUAUCCGGAAUUAUUGGGCGUAAAGAGCUCGUAGGUGGUUUGUCGCGUUGUCCGUGAAAACUCACAACUCAAUUGUGGGCGUGCGGGCGAUACGGGCAGACUGGAGUACUGCAGGGGAGACUGGAAUUCCUGGUGUAGCGGUGGAAUGCGCAGAUAUCAGGAGGAACACCGAUGGCGAAGGCAGGUCUCUGGGCCACUACUGACGCUGAGAAGCGAAAGCAUGGGGAGCAAACAGG
RNAcentral lists this ribosomal RNA (253 nucleotides) under uncultured bacterium. Its description in RNAcentral is "partial 16S ribosomal RNA". It matches the Rfam family "Bacterial small subunit ribosomal RNA", at positions 524 to 776 of the family's 1533-position model. The record is from RNAcentral.